Molecule: ribosomal RNA, 449 nt
Filed under: uncultured bacterium
Lineage: Bacteria
Description: bacterial SSU rRNA
Rfam family: Bacterial small subunit ribosomal RNA
Source: RNAcentral
GAUGAACGCUGGCGGCGUGCCUAAUACAUGCAAGUCGAGCGGCAGCGAGUUUUGCACUUUUUACUUGAAUACCAAAUUACGUUUGGUUAAAGUUCGAGUAAGAGGUGCAAAAUGUCGGCGAGCGGCGGACGGGUGAGUAACACGUAGGAAUGUACCCCAAGGUGAGGGAUAAGCUCCAGAAAUGGAGUCUAAUACCGCAUACGGUCUUCGGAUUAAAGUCUUCGGACGCCAUGGGAACAGCCUGCGUAUGAUUAGCUAGUUGGUGAGGUAAAGGCUCACCAAGGCGACGAUCAUUAGCUGUUCUGAGAGGAUGAUCAGCCACACUGGAACUGAGACACGGUCCAGACUCCUACGGGAGGCAGCAGUAAGGAAUCUUCCACAAUGGACGAAAGUCUGAUGGAGCAACGCCGCGUGCAGGAUGAAGGCUUUCGGGUCGUAAACUGCUUUUA